UCAUUAAGUAAAAACAGGAUUUGGUUGGUGUUCGUUCUGGGUGAUUUGUUUAGGCCUGGGAUGGCAGGGAGUGAGUGUAAUCAGUGUUUACUGAGCUUUCUUCAUCUUCAGUGAAGUAAGGAAAUGAAUCCACUCCUUGGCAGAGAAGGCUGCUUACCUGUAUGCCUGAAGCAGAACUUGGGCCCUUCUGGGAAAGCUCACCUGAGGCAAUGAGGUUGGCAACAGACAUUCCUUAGUGCAAGAUGCAGUAGGUUAGUAGGCUGAUGAAGGCUCUACAAUGUGAACCCUCACUAAUUUAUACAGGGAGCCGAUGGUGAAGCACUAGAGUUCUUAAAGACUUCAACCAGGUACAUGGAGCCUGCUUCUCCCUCUGCCUAUGUCUCUGCCUCUCUCUCUCUCUCU
Molecule: long non-coding RNA, 402 nt
Organism: Canis lupus familiaris (dog)
Lineage: Eukaryota; Metazoa; Chordata; Mammalia; Carnivora; Canidae
Exons: 3
Source: RefSeq, a predicted model, not a curated record